This 660-nucleotide ribosomal RNA is filed under the name uncultured bacterium. Its description in RNAcentral is "bacterial SSU rRNA". It matches the Rfam family "Bacterial small subunit ribosomal RNA", at positions 57 to 749 of the family's 1533-position model. The record is from RNAcentral.
GCAAGUCGCACGAGAAAGUGGAGCAAUCCAUGAGUACAGUGGCGCACGGGUGAGUAACACGUGAAUCAUCUACCUUCGAGUGGGGAAUAACUGGGAGAAAUCUCAGCUAAUACCGCAUAAUACCUACGGGUCAAAGCAGCAAUGCGCUUGAAGAGGAGUUCGCGGCAGAUUAGUUAGUUGGCGGGGUAAUGGCCCACCAAGACGAUGAUCUGUAUCCGGCCUGAGAGGGCGCACGGACACACUGGGACUGAAACACGGUCCAGACUCCUACGGGAGGCAGCAGUGGGGAAUUUUGCGCAAUGGGGGAAACCCUGACGCAGCAACGCCGCGUGGAGGAUGAAAUCCCUUGGGAUGUAAACUCCUUUCGAUCGGGACGAUUAUGACGGUACCGGAAGAAGAAGCCCCGGCUAACUUCGUGCCAGCAGCCGCGGUAAUACGAGGGGGGCAAGCGUUGUUCGGAAUUAUUGGGCGUAAAGGGCGCGUAGGCGGUUUGACAAGUCUGAUGUGAAAUCUGUGGGCUCAACCCACAGCCUGCAUUAGAAACUGUCGGGCUUGAGUAUGGGAGAGGCGAGUGGAAUUUCCGGUGUAGCGGUGAAAUGCGUAGAUAUCGGAAGGAACACCUGUGGCGAAAGCGGCUCACUGGACCAUAACUGACGCUGA